Molecule: transfer RNA, 70 nt
Filed under: Lagocephalus laevigatus (smooth puffer)
Lineage: Eukaryota; Metazoa; Chordata; Actinopteri; Tetraodontiformes; Tetraodontidae
Description: tRNA-Ile
Rfam family: tRNA
About the family: Transfer RNA (tRNA) molecules are approximately 80 nucleotides in length. Their secondary structure includes four short double-helical elements and three loops (D, anti-codon, and T loops).
Source: RNAcentral
GGAGCUAUGCCUGAAACAAAGGGUCACUUUGAUAGAGUGAAUCAUGGAGGUUAAAUUCCUCCUAGCUCCU